Molecule: ribosomal RNA, 447 nt
Filed under: uncultured bacterium
Lineage: Bacteria
Description: bacterial SSU rRNA
Rfam family: Bacterial small subunit ribosomal RNA
Source: RNAcentral
UGCCAGACUCCUACGGGAGGCAGCAGUGGGGAAUAUUGCACAAUGGGGGAAACCCUGAUGCAGCGACGCCGCGUGAGCGAUGAAGUAUUUCGGUAUGUAAAGCUCUAUCAGCAGGGAAGAAAAUGACGGUACCUGACUAAGAAGCCCCGGCUAACUACGUGCCAGCAGCCGCGGUAAUACGUAGGGGGCAAGCGUUAUCCGGAUUUACUGGGUGUAAAGGGAGCGUAGACGGCAUGGCAAGCCAGAUGUGAAAUACCGGGGCUCAACCCCGGGACUGCAUUUGGAACUGUUAAGCUGGAGUGUCGGAGAGGCAGGCGGAAUUCCUAGUGUAGCGGUGAAAUGCGUAGAUAUUAGGAGGAACACCAGUGGUGAAGGCGGCCUGCUGGACGAUAACUGACGUUGAGGCUCGAAAGCGUGGGGAGCGAACAGGAUUAGAUACCCUCGUAU